AGUCCUGGGAUUGCAGGUGUGCCCCACGAUGCCUAGCCAAAAAGAGUGGGUCUUUUGUUUUAGGGUCUUUGUAGUCCAGGUUAGCCCCGGACUGAAUUAAAACCUCCUGCCUCCUCCUCCACUGGAAUAUAGGUGUGCAUUACCCUGCUUGGUUUAUGGGGUGGCUUUGUGCGUACUGGGCAGGCAUCCCACAAGCUGUGCUGUGUCCCCAGGUCAAUUCUUGAAAUGUAUUUAUUUAUUUGGGUGUGUGCACAUGUCACAACAUGUAGGCAGAAGUCAGAGGACAACCUGUGGCAGUCAGCCCUCUCUUUCCGCCAUGUGGAUCCCAGCGAUGGAACUCCGGUCAUCAGGAUUGACAGCAAGCGCAUGUACCCACAAGCCAUCUUGCUGCCCAGUCACCCGCCCCAGCCCCGUUCUCAUAUUUACUUAUUUGCUUCAUUCCUCUGGAGUUCUGGGACAUAAAGGAGGGAUGAGCGUGAAGAGCAGGAGGCAUUUCCUCCUUGGGAAGAACUGCGAAGCCGGGCGCUCCUGGGAACACCUGUCCUGCCGGUAUUCAGGAGGCGCUUCCAAGUCAGCCCGGGCUGUAGCAAAACGCUGCCCCCAAAGCACAAAAUAAACUCACAGACAUUCAAACAAG
This 637-nucleotide long non-coding RNA is filed under the name Mus musculus (house mouse). Its description in RNAcentral is "predicted gene 16175". The record is from RNAcentral. Lineage: Eukaryota; Metazoa; Chordata; Mammalia; Rodentia; Muridae.